CCUACGGGAGGCAGCAGUGGGGAAUCUUAGACAAUGGGGGAAACCCUGAUCUAGCCAUGCCGCGUGAUCGAUGAAGGCCUUAGGGUUGUAAAGAUCUUUCAGAUGGGAAGAUAAUGACGGUACCAUCAGAAGAAGCCCCGGCUAACUCCGUGCCAGCAGCCGCGGUAAUACGGAGGGGGCUAGCGUUAUUCGGAAUUACUGGGCGUAAAGCGCACGUAGGCGGAUCAGAAAGUCAGAGGUGAAAUCCCAGGGCUCAACCUUGGAACUGCCUUUGAAACUCCUGGUCUUGAGGUCGAGAGAGGUGAGUGGAAUUCCGAGUGUAGAGGUGAAAUUCGUAGAUAUUCGGAGGAACACCGAGUGGCGAAGGCGGCUCACUGGCUCGAUACUGACGCUGAGGUGCGAAAGCGUGGGGAGCGAAACAGGAUUAGAUACCCUGGUAGUCCACGCCGUAAACGAUAGAAUGCCAGUCGUCGGGUAGNANNCUNUGUGCACACCUACGUAUANNUCNCGNGGAGACGCCGCGAGUAAACGUACGAAGUAAGUAGAGCGNGUAGAGUUGCGACGGCGACGACGAGGGAGGAGG
This 583-nucleotide ribosomal RNA is filed under the name uncultured bacterium. RNAcentral's name for it is "bacterial SSU rRNA". The stretch from base 1 to 472 matches the Rfam family "Bacterial small subunit ribosomal RNA", at positions 338 to 873 of the family's 1533-position model. The record is from RNAcentral.